RNAcentral lists this ribosomal RNA (1436 nucleotides) under uncultured organism. Its description in RNAcentral is "partial small subunit ribosomal RNA". It matches the Rfam family "Bacterial small subunit ribosomal RNA". The record is from RNAcentral.
UCUGGCGGCGUGCUUAACACAUGCAAGUCGAACGGAAAGGCCCUGCUUUUGUGGGGUGCUCGAGUGGCGAACGGGUGAGUAACACGUGAGUAACCUGCCCUUGACUUUGGGAUAACUUCAGGAAACUGGGGCUAAUACCGGAUAGGAGCUCCUGCUGCAUGGUGGGGGUUGGAAAGUUUCGGCGGUUGGGGAUGGACUCGCGGCUUAUCAGCUUGUUGGUGGGGUAGUGGCUUACCAAGGCUUUGACGGGUAGCCGGCCUGAGAGGGUGACCGGCCACAUUGGGACUGAGAUACGGCCCAGACUCCUACGGGAGGCAGCAGUGGGGAAUAUUGCACAAUGGGCGGAAGCCUGAUGCAGCAACGCCGCGUGCGGGAUGACGGCCUUCGGGUUGUAAACCGCUUUCGCCUGUGACGAAGCGUGAGUGACGGUAAUGGGUAAAGAAGCACCGGCUAACUACGUGCCAGCAGCCGCGGUGAUACGUAGGGUGCGAGCGUUGUCCGGAUUUAUUGGGCGUAAAGGGCUCGUAGGUGGUUGAUCGCGUCGGAAGUGUAAUCUUGGGGCUUAACCCUGAGCGUGCUUUCGAUACGGGUUGACUUGAGGAAGGUAGGGGAGAAUGGAAUUCCUGGUGGAGCGGUGGAAUGCGCAGAUAUCAGGAGGAACACCAGUGGCGAAGGCGGUUCUCUGGGCCUUUCCUGACGCUGAGGAGCGAAAGCGUGGGGAGCGAACAGGCUUAGAUACCCUGGUAGUCCACGCUGUAAACGGUGGGUACUAGGUGUGGGGUCCAUUCCACGGGUUCCGUGCCGUAGCUAACGCUUUAAGUACCCCGCCUGGGGAGUACGGCCGCAAGGCUAAAACUCAAAGGAAUUGACGGGGCCCCGCACAAGCGGCGGAGCAUGCGGAUUAAUUCGAUGCAACGCGUAGAACCUUACCUGGGUUUGACAUGGAUCGGGAGUGCUCAGAGAUGGGUGUGCCUCUUUUGGGGUCGGUUCACAGGUGGUGCAUGGCUGUCGUCAGCUCGUGUCGUGAGAUGUUGGGUUAAGUCCCGCAACGAGCGCAACCCUUGUUCACUGUUGCCAGCACGUUAUGGUGGGGACUCAGUGGAGACCGCCGGGGUCAACUCGGAGGAAGGUGGGGAUGACGUCAAGUCAUCAUGCCCCUUAUGUCCAGGGCUUCACGCAUGCUACAAUGGCUGGUACAGAGAGUGGCGAGCCUGUGAGGGUGAGCGAAUCUCGGAAAGCCGGUCUCAGUUCGGAUUGGGGUCUGCAACUCGACCUCAUGAAGUCGGAGUCGCUAGUAAUCGCAGAUCAGCAACGCUGCGGUGAAUACGUUCCCGGGGCUUGUACACACCGCCCGUCAAGUCAUGAAAGUUGGUAACACCCGAAGCCGGUGGCCUAACCGUUGUGGGGGAGCCGUCGAAGGUGGGACUGGUGAUUAG